RNAcentral lists this long non-coding RNA (1777 nucleotides) under Bemisia tabaci. Its description in RNAcentral is "lncRNA ENSASIAIIG005401". Lineage: Eukaryota; Metazoa; Arthropoda; Insecta; Hemiptera; Aleyrodidae. The record is from RNAcentral.
CUUUGAGCCCGGAAUGGACGGUAUGUGUAUAUAGCCCGUAAUUGCGACUCCCACGGCCGGAGUUUUUUUUUUUUUUUUUUUUUUUUUUCAGUGUAGCCGGAAACAGCCGAAUUCGAAAAGUUGUCGGCAGAUCAACGCGCGAAUCGGCGCACAGUGGAUCAAGUUAAUAGGAGAGGUCGGACAAAAUUUGGAAACUUUAAAAGCUUUUAACUCCGUUUAUACAAAGCAUUGACCUUCCAUUGGUUUCCUUGUGAAAUUUUCUUCUAAUGGCACCCCAUGAACUUUAAAAUGCGACGAAAUUUACAUGAAAAUUUGCAGUUUAAGUCAAAAAUUUAAAGUCCGACCUCUCUAGUUGACUCGAUUCACUGCGCGGCGAGUACCCGUGCCCGUCCUUUGACUGUUUUGACUUUAUCUUAUCAUGUGUACUAUCAACUGCCUUAUCAUAAAUCGAUCAAUUUUAUCUACAAGUAACGGAACUGCCGAAUUCCCACUCAUUUUCAAGGUUACAAGCCACCUGCACUCACUUGCUGAUCCUUUAUCUUCAGUCAUACUAUUCGGGCCUUGGGAACUCCUAUCCGUGUCCACUUCGAAGUGUUUAAUUUUCGUGCCCACACAAAUAAACGACAAAAGAAUCAUCUUUUACUUUCUGAACUGUACUUUUGUCAUUUUAACAAUGGAAUUAGCGUGUCAUUUGUGCGAGGAGGAAUUAUUUCUCAGCAUUUCACCGAUUAAGUCUCGUGCCAAGCUUACUUGUUGUUCUAGCUGUGGUUAUACUUUUCACGAGGCAUGUUUGAAAACGCGUCUUGAAAGGAAAGAAAAAUGCCCUAAGUGCCAAAAAUAUAUACAAAAGGUAAAAACUGUCAACUUGACUUUCAAUAUUGGAUCUAUUAAGGGACUUGAGAAUGUUGACAAAGUAGUCCGAAGCUCAUUGAAAAGUAAGCUGGAAUUGUUACAGUCAAGCAUCGAACAUCAGAUCGAAACCGGAGUGGAACUAAACAACUUGAUGGAACACGAGGAAUCUGACACAGAUUAUCUGGAACGUAAACACCGGUCUUUCUAUGAUUCAGAAAGAAAAAGAUGCAAAAGUGCACUGACUGAGAGCACUUUAGAGAUAUGUGCAGUAGCAGAGCUGUGUUUAAUGGAUUGUUUGGACAGUAAUCAUAACCAAACAUCUGCUGAGGAUUUUAUUUGUUUGAAAUGUGAUGAAGAACUUUUCGACUAUGGGAAUGCCAUCCAGUGCUGUGGAAACAACAAGUUAGCUUGCCACAUGCAGUGUGGAUCUGUGUAUCACAAAAACUGUUUAUUGAAAUGUAUCAGAUCUGAAGAAGAAUGUGUGAAAUGUAAUCAGCCGGUCUCUCUUGAGGAGAAUAUCAAUUUGAUUUUUUUCACCACAAUCCUAGAUACAAUGCCCGUGGUUCCCGAGAAGUUGAUCAACAAAUUAGUGCUAAUAAAAAAGUAUGUGCCAAUUUCAACCGCUUUAUGGGUGCAGCUUGGCGUAAGCUGUCAUAAUGCUCCUGAUCCUGAAGAUUUUUCUUACUUUAGUGCAGGAGAAGGGAAGAAAGAAAUCAGCAAGCAGUUGAACAUGGUGAAUGAUAUUGUGCGAAAUGCUCUAGAAACAGCUUUAUUGCAAGUAAAGCAACAGAACGGAAGUGACGCAGUCUCCAAAAAUUUGGAGACAACUGAUGCGAAGCCUGAAAGCAACAAGAGAAAGAGGGGUGCCUAAUAUGUCUUGUGGCCCCAUUCCUUCUUCGCAAUCAUAAGUGCCCACUAUGUGUAG